RNAcentral lists this long non-coding RNA (2692 nucleotides) under Salvia miltiorrhiza (redroot sage). Its description in RNAcentral is "long non-coding RNA (SMIL_LNC010412)". The record is from RNAcentral. Lineage: Eukaryota; Viridiplantae; Streptophyta; Magnoliopsida; Lamiales; Lamiaceae.
AUGAACAACCUUAAGCAACACACAACGAUUUACGGGAACACCACGCCCCAACCUUUAAUUUUAUUCCCACAAUAAAAUUACAAGGACCUAUCUAUGCUCAAGGCUCGUGCACUACUCUCUUGUGUACAACUCACGGCCAAAUUACAAUUUAAGUGUGAUGGACAUCCCCAUCACUAGGCAAAACCGCACAAGGCUCUUGGAUGUAACCGCCGGGUAGUUUUUCGCCCCACUACUCAAAACUGCCGAUCAUGGGCAUGGGCAAUUGGCGCCCAGCAACUGCCCCACGCUACUCCCAACUGAUCCCGUGUUCGAGUCCUAGCAAAGACAUUUUCUGCCUUCAUCCAUUCGCCUUAGCCAAGACACGCCUUCCUCAUGUCAACUGCUCGGGCGCGCAUCGCCCGUGCUUUGCCUUGUUGGCCCGCAUAGCCAACUGUCGCCCGCGUGGCUGCCGGGUGGACUUAGCGCCAAUUCCUCGUCGUGGCGGGAGUUCGCGCGCGCGGCCCAUCGCUCGGCGCGCGCGCGCACGUCUGCCGUCGCCCAUCGCUUGCCAUCCGUCUCGGCGGGCGCCCGUGUGUUGGCGCCCCGCACGCCCGACGCACAAUGCCCGGCAUCACCCGGCGCACUAGCUCGGCAGCGUGCGUGCCCUCGACACAGCGCUCGCCCGACACUUGCGCUCGACACCCCGCACGCCCGAUGUGCGGCGCCCGGCAUCACCCGGCGCGCCCACUCGGCAGCAUGCGUGCCCGACGCACGACGCCCGGUAUCCAACAACCAUCUUUCACCCGAUGCCACUCAACAUCGGCCAUCCGUGUCUCGCCCGGUAUUCACCCGCACGAUGUGUUGCUCCGCAUCAACACUUGGCUCCGUUGCCCCGCUUCUCGACAACCCUGCGCCAAUCUGCCGAGGCACGUCGCACGGACUCGACGUGUCUCGAACCUCACUUUUCAAGGGUCUAACAAACCACCCCACCAAAACCUGACGACGUCCUCGUCGUUGAUGAGAUUAAACCCCCUUCUCUGAGCUCCUUUUCACGAAUGCUCCCUAACCAAAUUAUGGCCGGAUCCAUCAUCUCUUCCGCACCACCAUUUAAUCCGCCCUCGUUCUUGGACUCAACUUGAAUUGCAGACACAACCUGCAAUGGAUUCAUCCUCGGGCCCACGACCUCGCUGUCCUCAUCCCUUUCAACAACAAUCGCAUUCACCCGCUUUGGAUAAUCCCUCAUUCGAUGCCCCAUUUCAUCACAAAUGAAACAUCCGCGAUUUCUCUUCGGGGCUGUUGCUGCCAUCUCCGGCACCUUGGUUACUUGCUCGCCGGAUUUCUCAUUCUCCUUCCCUUUCUUCGAGUCCUUCUUCCUUCUCUCGAACUCGUGGGAAUCACCAACCGGCCUGAAAUCAACGAAUCCCUCAUCAACAGUAAUGGCCGACUGCACAUCCUUGACUCCUUGCCGUCUCACUUCGGCCUGAGCCCACGGCUGCAUUCCCGCCAUAAAGUUAAACAGUUUGUCCGCCUCCGACAUGUCAUUCACGUCCAACAUCAACGAACUGAAUCUCUUUACAUAGUCACGGACAGAUUCUGUAUACUUCAACUUUCUUAAGGCAUCCCUCGCCAUCCACGAAGAAUUACCCGGAAGGAACUGCUCCUUCAACUCACGCUUUAACGCCUCCCACGUCAAAGACUCCAACUGAUAGCCACCAGCACCGACACUUGGCCUAGAACGCCACCACAGCUUCGCAUCACCCGUCAAGUACAUGCUAGUGAUCGACACCUUCUCAUCAUCGGGUACAUGAGAUGCCUUGAAAUACAUCUCCAUGUCCCAUAGAGAAUUCUCCAACUCCUUCGAACUCUUAGUGCCCUCAAAAGGUUUGGGUCCGGGACACGGACCUUCGGGACCGGCCUGCCUUGCUCCACCGUUCUGAGCACUCGCUUCACGAGUCGCAACUCGUCCAACAACUCCUCGAUCUUGAUGUCGACCGCCUGCGUCAAGGUAGACACCUCUUCCUCGCACGACACGAUCCGACCUUCAACAAAUCCGGGAGUGUCUUCCACCGAUUUGCGCAUUGCUUCAACCGACUCUUUGAUCGCAAUAAUUUGACCAAAGACGGUCUCAAGUCCAGCUGACGUGAGACCUCCGGGUCCUCCCAAACACCGUCUCCAAUCUCAGCACCCGCUCUUCGAGAGCAGAAAAUUCCCUCGCUUGCACCAUCUCCGCAAUGGCCUCCACACGCACCAGAGCCAACCUGGCUCUGAUACCAAAUUGUCACGGGGUUUUCCUUGGCUAGAAUUUUUUGCCCCGUGCAGCGCCGGAUUCCCGCAACCCGACCAGCUUCCACCCUCACCGACACUCCUUUAACACUUAGAAUGUAUGAGGCUCUCAAGUGUAUGCACGAAUCAAAGUUCACACGCAUCGGACAUCAACAUGAACAACCUUAAGCAACACACAACGAUUUACGGGAACACCACGCCCCAACCUUUAAUUUUAUUCCAAAUAAAAUUACAAGGACCUAUCUAUGCUCAAGGCUCGUGCACUACUCUCUUGUGUACAACUCACGACCAAAUUACAAUUUAAGUGUGAUGGACAUCCCCCAUCACUAGGCAAAACCGCACAAGGCUCUUGGAUGUAACCGCCGGGUAGUUUUUCGCCCCACUACUCAAAACUGCCGAUCAUGGGCAUGGGCAAUUGGCGCCCAGCAAC